RNAcentral lists this unclassified non-coding RNA (335 nucleotides) under soil metagenome. RNAcentral describes it as "partial contains 5.8S ribosomal RNA, internal transcribed spacer 2, and large subunit ribosomal RNA". The stretch from base 1 to 120 matches the Rfam family "5.8S ribosomal RNA", at positions 35 to 154 of the family's 154-position model. The record is from RNAcentral.
GAUGAAGAACGUAGCGAAAUGCGAUAAGUAAUGUGAAUUGCAGAAUUCAGUGAAUCAUCGAAUCUUUGAACGCACAUUGCGCCCGCCAGUAUUCUGGCGGGCAUGCCUGUUCGAGCGUCAUUUCAACCAUCAAGCCCCCGGCUUGUGUUGGGGACCUGCGGCUGCCGCAGGCCCUGAAAACCAGUGGCGGGCUCGCUAGUCACUCCGAGCGUAGUAAUACAUCUCGCUCAGGGCGUGCUGCGGGUUACGGCCGUUUAAAAGCCUUAUUUACCCAAGGUUGACCUCGGAUCAGGUAGGAAGACCCGCUGAACUUAAGCAUAUCAAUAAGCGGAGGA